GACGAACGCUGGCGGCGUGCCUAAUACAUGCAAGUAGAACGCUGAAGGAGGAGCUUGCUUCUCUGGAUGAGUUGCGAACGGGUGAGUAACGCGUAGGUAACCUGCCUGGUAGCGGGGGAUAACUAUUGGAAACGAUAGCUAGUACCGCAUAAUAGUAGAUGUUGCAUGACAUUUGCUUAAAAGGUGCAAUUGCAUCACUACCAGAUGGACCUGCGUUGUAUUAGCUAGUUGGUGGGGUAACGGCUCACCAAGGCGACGAUACAUAGCCGACCUGAGAGGGUGAUCGGCCACACUGGGACUGAGACACGGCCCAGACUCCUACGGGAGGCAGCAGUAGGGAAUCUUCGGCAAUGGACGGAAGUCUGACCGAGCAACGCCGCGUGAGUGAAGAAGGGUUUCGGAUCGUAAAGCUCUGUUGUAAGAGAAGAACGAGUGUGAGAGUGGAAAGUUCACACUGUGACGGUAUCUUACCAGAAAGGGACGGCUAACUACGUG
Molecule: ribosomal RNA, 495 nt
Filed under: uncultured bacterium
Lineage: Bacteria
Description: partial 16S ribosomal RNA
Rfam family: Bacterial small subunit ribosomal RNA
Source: RNAcentral